This 497-nucleotide ribosomal RNA is filed under the name uncultured bacterium. RNAcentral's name for it is "partial 16S ribosomal RNA". It matches the Rfam family "Bacterial small subunit ribosomal RNA", at positions 28 to 507 of the family's 1533-position model. The record is from RNAcentral.
GAUGAACGCUGGCGGCGUGCCUAAUACAUGCAAGUCGAGCGAAGAGACGAGGGGUUUGCCUCCCUGACGUUUGCGGAGGGGGGGUGUGUAACAUGUGGAUAAUCUCUCUUUACGAGUGGGAAAUAUUCGGGAAACUGGAGCUUAUCCCGGAAAAAAUAUUAAAGCGUAAGGACUAAUAGUGAAAGACGAUUUUGCCGCUACCAAUUGAUGGUUCCGUGCCGCAUUAGCUAGUUGGUAAGGCAACGGCUUACCAAGACGACAAUGAGCAGCCGACCUGAGAGGGUGAUCGGCCACACUGGAACGGGAACACGGCCCAGACUCCUACGGAAGGCAGCAGUAGGGAAUCUUCCGCAAUGGCCGAAAUCCGGACGGAGCAACGCCGCGUGAGUAAUGAAGGUCUUCGGAUCUUAAAACUCUGUUAUUAGGGAAGAACAAAUGUGUAGUUAACUAUGCACGUCUUGACGGUACCUUAUCAGAAAGCCACGGCUAACUACGUG